RNAcentral lists this long non-coding RNA (527 nucleotides) under Astyanax mexicanus (Mexican tetra). RNAcentral's name for it is "lncRNA (ENSAMXG00005007134.1)". The record is from RNAcentral. Lineage: Eukaryota; Metazoa; Chordata; Actinopteri; Characiformes; Acestrorhamphidae.
CAGGGUUCUUAUCCUCCACAGUUCUGUGUAAAUGUAAAAACACUUAAGUGAUGUUGAAUCAUUAGAAAAGCUUGAGGAAAUAUCUAUUAGCACAAUGUAGUGUAGAAGUGUAUUGCUAUUUAAUCACUAGCACUCACUUUCUACUCCCAUUCUCUUCUUGCACGCGUCCACAUACUGAUUCAUUCAAAGCUUUUCCAGCUGAUUACUCAAUUGACUUUAAAUGACUCAGAAAACAGUUGCUCACGGCUUCUUUACUGUGUGUAACAGAUACGCUAGACUGACAGGAUGUUUUCAGAUGUUCUCAGCUUGACUGGGAUACAGUAUGACCUGAGGUGACCCCAACACUCUUACAACUAAAGAGAUAUUUCCUCUUCUACUCAGCAGCAGCAUGUAUCAAUGAGGUUCAUUGACCCAAGACCCAAAUGCAGCGAGAACACAGUCCAUCAACAGUCCUGCAUUGCUCUCUGAAACCUGGUCUCAGCCGUCACAGGCUUCUUGUGAGUGAGGAGGAGCCGAUUCAUUUCUAA